Long non-coding RNA from Triticum aestivum (bread wheat), 1877 nucleotides. RefSeq lists it as uncharacterized. The record is from RefSeq and is a predicted model, not a curated record. The transcript has 3 exons. Lineage: Eukaryota; Viridiplantae; Streptophyta; Magnoliopsida; Poales; Poaceae.
CCUAUAGAGUCAAGGAGUAGAAUACCAAAAUACGAGCUGCAAAAGUGACUCAAAUUCGUCUUCCCUCACAAGUAACUACACUGAGGUGGAGGCUGGCCUGCAGCUUGUGUGCGCGGAGGCUCGUGUGCGCGGAGGAGAAGCACACUUCACCGACAAGUUGUUCCCGCUAUCCUCGCUGCCACUGCCAGUGACGGAACUUGGUGUGGACAACAUGCUGGAAAGAGAGUGUUCAUCCCUAUGAUCCCUUUGGCGCCCUCGGAGGACAUUUCGCUUCCUUUCAAGUUGAAGAGGAAACAGUUCCCUGGAUCGAUCCUGGAGAGCCCCUUCCGUAACCAAGUCCCCUCCCCACUUGGAGUCCUCUGCCACUGACGCACGGGUAAGCGCCAGAGAUGCGGUGCAUCCACGCAGUUCAACCAGCUGCCGCUGUCGUAGAUAACCAAGACGUACACGGAGAUAAGCAAGAUUCAGUGCGCUGCACUGCCCCCACGCGCUUUGAGGGUGCGAUGUCCCCGUCCAAGACAAGGUCCAGGAAGACCCUCGCCUUCGUUAUCCUGGUAAAGUUUUGCUGUUAUUUUACUCCCCCAAUUCCACUUACAGGGGAACAAAGAGUAAGAGUAAUCCUGGGGAUAAUGGUAUUUUCAUUUGUGCUUCUAAUUGAUAGUAUUACUGUCAGCUCCAUCCUUAGAGCAAUUGACGAAAAUGACUAUAUCACCUAGAUUGAUAGACAAUAAUUAUGCACAAACACGACAAUGUCCACAAAACAACUGCCGCUGCAUUGCUAAGAUGCAGCUUGAUUUGGCCUCAAUAUUUUGAUUUUUGAGUAUUACUUUCUUCCACUCCUCUGCAAAAUACUCCUAUGUUCUAGCUUCUCAAGCCUCUACUCUCAACCAGUCCAGUUGUCUAGGUGUUUUUUUUUGAUAAAUAUUGAUUUUGUUUCCUUUAUCUAUCGGUUUCAAUUCUGUAUCCGCCGUUCUCAGGAUAACUGUGUGAUGUUGCCAUGGGAUCCAAAAUAACUAUUUUUUACUGAAGCUACAGACUUAAGCAGUUUCUACCAUGUGUACUGUAUUUUGAGUUAAACCUGAAUGGCUUUCGUCGUAUGAUACACCGCAGUGCUUUCAUGUUUUUAGGAGGGUAGUUCUUCCCUGUGAUUACUAUGGUGUCGCUGUACAUUUCUUAUAUGGUUAGUUCUUAAUUUUCUUCAUUAUUCCAAACAUGUGUACCCACUAGGAUUUCAUCUUUUAUUAUUUACCUUCAAGCAGCAUAUAUUACUGUUGUUUGCUGUCCACCUUGAUCCUUCGCUGAUAUUUUUCCUAGGCAACUUCACAUGGAAUUAGGAUUAGUUAAUAAGAUUCUGGUAUAUUCUCAAUUUUUCUUGCUUUAUGCAUGAACCUAUCAUCAAGAUUUGGAUCUCUUAUAUGUGCCUUUGCUGCUGUAGAUUUGUUGGUGUUGAUUUGCAGUAAGAGGAAAUGUACUAUUGUUCUCAUCAAUUUCUUUCAUACCAUGUGUAUGGUUAGUUCUUAAUAUUCUUCAUUAUUCAAAAUACUUGUACCCACUAGGAUUCAUUUAUUAUUUUUUACCGUCAAGCACUAUAUAUAUUACUGUUGUUUGUUGUAUACCUUGAUCCUUCGCUGAUGUUUUUCCUAGGCAACUUCACAUGGAAUUAGGAUCACUUAAUAAGAUUCUGGUAUAUUCUGCAAAUUUUCUUGCUUUAUGCAUGAACCUAUCAUCAAGAAUUGGAUCUCUUAUAUGUGCAUGUGCUGCUGUAUAUUGGUUGGGUGUUGAUUUGCAGUAAGAGGAAAUGUACUAUUGUUCUCAUCGAUUUCUUUCAUAUCAUCUUAUAGAAAUAUGUUGUUUAAAUAUGAAGAGGUGGAUAAGUU